UGAAAUUGACCCGUCUCCGUUUCUUGCGAUUUUAGUGUUUAAAUGACUGUAAUAACGUUGUGACUCUAUUUCUGAUAGUGUAUCAACGUUUCGAGGCCUUUUAGAAAGUAAAAGAUCCGGGGAGUGAAUUUUGGAGCGCGCGUGAUCUGCGUUCAGGUCCGAGCACCAGUAGUCAGCGUUGAUCGAGUUUGGAGAAUUUCUGGUCUGGAGACAGGGGUGAGCACACAGGGUUUUGUACUAUUUCAGUCUCCAUCUGUUUAUAUAAAGACUUGUCUUUUACUUUUCGAGACAGUCUAGUUUCGGUGGUCCACUGUUGGGACUUGUACUCGUUUUGUUGGUAGCUCUGUAUUAGUGACUUCCAGGUUCUGGGAGGGAUCCUUUAUUGCAUUUAUGUUUUGGUUUGCUUAUGUUGUUAUAGUAAUUUUUCUUAGUCUUGUUUA
Solanum pennellii is the source of this 440-nucleotide long non-coding RNA. RefSeq lists it as uncharacterized. The transcript is spliced from 2 exons. Lineage: Eukaryota; Viridiplantae; Streptophyta; Magnoliopsida; Solanales; Solanaceae. The record is from RefSeq and is a predicted model, not a curated record.